CCUACGGGUGGCAGCAGUGAGGAAUAUUGGUCAAUGGGCGGAAGCCUGAACCAGCCAAGUCGCGUGAGGGAUUAAGGCCCUGCGGGUCGUAAACCUCGUUUGCCGGGGAGCAGAGGUCCGGACGUGUCCGGGCCGGGAGAGUACCCGGAGAAAAAGCAUCGGCUAACUCCGUGCCAGCAGCCGCGGUAAUAAGGAGGAUGCGAGCGUUAUCCGGAUUUAUUUGGUUUAAAGGGUGCGUAGGCGGGCAUUUAAGCCGGCGGUCAAAUGUCGGGGCUCAACCCCGGCCUGCCGUCGGAACUGGGUGCCUUGAGUGGGCGAGAAGUAGGCGGAAUGCGUGGUGUAGCGGUGAAAUGCAUAGAUAUCACGCAGAACCCCGAUUGCGAAGGCAGCAUACCGGCGCCCGACUGACGCUGAGGCACGAAAGUGCGGGUAUCGAACAGGAUUAGAUACCCGAGUAGUC
This 460-nucleotide ribosomal RNA is filed under the name uncultured bacterium. Its description in RNAcentral is "partial 16S ribosomal RNA". It matches the Rfam family "Bacterial small subunit ribosomal RNA", at positions 338 to 795 of the family's 1533-position model. The record is from RNAcentral.